Non-coding RNA from Chanos chanos (milkfish), 480 nucleotides. NCBI's taxonomy places the organism in Eukaryota, Metazoa, Chordata, Actinopteri, Gonorynchiformes, Chanidae. The record is from the annotation of a RefSeq genome assembly.
CACACAGACACCAUGACUUUCAUCACCAUCUUCAUCUGGACACUGACCUGCUGCUGUUUUAAAGAGUCCAGAGGACAGGUGACAGUGACUCAGACUCCUGUAGUGAAAUCUGCUCUUCCAGGACAAACAGUGACCAUCAACUGUAAAACCAACAUUGUACCAGAUGAAAAUGGAGAUAAAAUAUAUGACAUAUUCUGGUACCAACUGAAAUCUGGAGAAACUCCUAAACUCCUGAUUUACUGGGGAGAUCGAUUAGAGUCAGGAACUCCAGAUCGUUUCAGUGGCAGUGGAUCUGAGACUGACUUCACUCUGACCAUCAGAGGAGUCCAGACUGAGGAUGCAGGAGAUUAUUACUGUCAGAGUGCACAUCAAACCGGUGGCUUGUGGUGGACUUUUGGUGGAGGAAUCAAACUGGAUGUUGGCAGUGAGUAUCCAAACAUAUGGCAUAGUUAUAUGUUGGAGAAUAAGCAAACUCUUUAG